This 1175-nucleotide long non-coding RNA is filed under the name Oncorhynchus kisutch (coho salmon). RNAcentral describes it as "lncRNA (ENSOKIG00005043099.1)". The record is from RNAcentral. Lineage: Eukaryota; Metazoa; Chordata; Actinopteri; Salmoniformes; Salmonidae.
CUGGUAAUUCAGAAACAAUAGGCAGGGAGGCCAUUGAUAAUAACAUAUGCAGUCUGCUGGAGACAGAGAGAGGCAGAGAAGGCAGGAAAACACUGGUGAGCGUAUAUGAGAAUGGGGAGAGAAGAAGAGAUGAUAGGAGGAGUGAUAUGAACAACGGGGAGAACAGAGGUAUAGCGAGUGAGUGGCUCUGGACAACAGCAGACAGUGUCUCAGUCAGGAGUUGAGAGAACUAAAAUAUGAUUGGAUGAUAUGUAGUGUAGAGCAGACAGAGCUUGGGGAAGACAGUGUGUGACUUCAUUAAAGGGGUCAGGGCAUAACAGAAGGACAGGCUUACAGAUUCGUGAGCUGGUGGUUGGUCAGAAGCUGCUGGCAGUGUUAUUUUCUCUCCCCUCUCUCUCUUUGCCAUUUCUCUCUCCAGCUAAAGUUUAGGUCAGAGUGAGCUCUAUGGCUGAGUGUAUUCUGUCAGAGCAGAGACACAGGGCUGAAGAUAGAGACAUAGAGUUGAUCACGUGUUACUGUUUCUUCCCUGCUUUGGAAAGUUAAGAGAAUCACUCAAUAUAAAAAGCUUCAGCCCUGACCGAUGGGAUUCCUCUGAAUGACGGGAUACUUCUGAAUGACGGGAUACUUCUGAAUGAUGGGAUACUUCUGAAUGACGGGAUACUUCUGAAUGACGGGAUACUUCUGAAUGACGGGAUACGUCUGAAUGAAUGGAUACUUCUGAAUGACGGGAUACUUCUGAAUGACGGGAUACUUCUGAAUGACGGGACACUUCUGAAUGACGGGAUACUUCUGAAUGACGGGAUACUUCUGAAUGACGGGAUACUUCUGAAUGACGGAAUACUUCUGAAUGAUGGGAUACUUCUGAAUGAUGGGAUACUUCUGAAUGAUGGGAUACUUCUGAAUGACGGGAUACUUCCCUCACUGAGAAUAUCAUGUGGAACUAAAUCUGAAAAAUAUAUUUGGAUUGAAAUGGGAGCGGAGCAAUGGGAGCAGAGCAUUCAGAGUCGGCAGAUGCUAUGAUGACAUGGAUGGGAGAAAGGAGUUUAAUGACGAGCCUUCGGCUGGUGGUGGGGAGAUGGAUGGCCGUCGGCAACUGUCGCUGUUACACAGCAAGUGAGGGAACAAGGGUAAGUUGACAUAUAAAUACAUCACAAGAUUUAAGCCCAUUGGGAGAA